RNAcentral lists this ribosomal RNA (665 nucleotides) under Erysiphe lycopsidis. RNAcentral describes it as "eukaryotic LSU rRNA". It matches the Rfam family "Eukaryotic large subunit ribosomal RNA", at positions 102 to 780 of the family's 3401-position model. Lineage: Eukaryota; Fungi; Ascomycota; Leotiomycetes; Helotiales; Erysiphaceae. The record is from RNAcentral.
UAACAGCUCAAAUUUGAAAUCUGGCUCCUCUGGAGUCCGAGUUGUAAUUUGUAGAAGAUGCUUUGGGUGAUGGGUUCGGCCUAAGUUCCUUGGAACAGGACGUCAUAGAGGGUGAGAAUCCCGUAUGUGGCCGAGGCCCACGCCCGUGUAAAGCUCUUUCAACGAGUCGAGUUGUUUGGGAAUGCAGCUCAAAAUGGGUGGUAAAUUUCAUCUAAAGCUAAAUAUGGGCCAGAGACCGAUAGCGCACAAGUAGAGUGAUCGAAAGAUGAAAAGCACUUUGGAAAGAGAGUUAAACAGUACGUGAAAUUGUUGAAAGGGAAGCGCUUGCACCCAGACUUGGGCGCUGCUGAUCACCUUGCGUUCUGCGCAAGUGCACUCGACAGCGCACAGGCCAGCAUCGGUUCGGGUGGCUGGAUAAAGGCCGUAGGAACGUAGCUCUCUUCGGGGAGUGUUAUAGCCUACGGUGCCAUGCAGCCCAGCCGGACCGAGGACCGCGCCUUCGGGCUAGGAUGCUGGCGUAAUGGGUGUAAGCGACCCGUCUUGAAACACGGACCAAGGAGUCUAACAUCUAUGCGAGUGUUUGGGUGGUAAACCCAUACGCGGAAUGAAAGUGAACGUAGGUGAGAACCCCUUUGGGGUGCAUCAUCGACCGAUCCUGAUGUCUU